This 1851-nucleotide long non-coding RNA is filed under the name Calidris pugnax (ruff). Its description in RNAcentral is "lncRNA (ENSCPUG00000002143.1)". The record is from RNAcentral. Lineage: Eukaryota; Metazoa; Chordata; Aves; Charadriiformes; Scolopacidae.
AGGAGGCCGAGGCACGGCACUGACGGCUCCGGCCGUGCAUACCAGGAGAGCAGGCGGUGGUCAGGCGCCAGUUCAUUCCUGAGCAGCUGAGGGGCCCGGCGGAGGGGACAGCGGGUGCUGUUGAGGGCCCCCCCUGCCAGCCCCCAGGGGGCCGAUGCAGACUUGCGAUGGGGUGGGGGUUUAGCAAGAGUCCCACCAUGGUCUGAGUCCAGCACAGCCCCACGGGGUGGCACAUGCCACCGGAGAGGUGUCCCCAUCCCAGGGACGAUGCUGGCACCUGCAGCACCGCUCUAGGUGCCCAGGGCUGUCCCCCCUCUGGGGUGGCUGCUCGCCCGCAGCCUCCCCUCUCUCCUUCCCUGCGCUGGCGCUCGGCCCCGCUGCAACCCGCUGACAAAUCCCGCUGGCAGUUCCUAUGGCAGAAGCCACUUCCCCCCCUGCUAAUCCGCCCGUGCGUGCAGCCUCCACCUGCUGAGCCAGCGGGAGCCGUGCUCAGCCGGCCCCAGCCAGCGCCAGGGCUCCGAACCCCGCUCCAGCUGCAGAGACCGUGGGGCAGCGGAGCCUCCGCACCCCGGCCCCGCUGCCGCAGGAGACCCCGGCCCCGCUUGGCACCAGCCGGCGGCACCAGCUGGCACCAGGAGAGCCGAGCCCUCCAGGUCGGCUCGCACAAGGAAGCAGAGGGACGGCGGGGUGCUGGGGAUCCGCAUGGCUCCCUGCGAGCGGUGACGUGCCCGGCUGGAUCCCUGUGCCAACGGGCAGAGCUCAGGAGGUGGUCACAGACACACUCCCCACCUCGUCCCAGCCAGGUCAUCAGCACAGCCACCCACAGGUGCCACAAAGGGACAGAGAGGUGAUUUACACCUGCUGCUGAGGGCUGGCUCAUCUGGAGGAGCUCAAAGACGGUAAGGGGCAUUUGCUACAGAUUUGCUCGUGGGGAAGCCUGGUGAGAAGACCUCCCAUCUUUUAGGCUUGGGGAUUGCUCCUGGAGAAACAUCUCUGGGAGGUGGGAGGGAGUGGUGGCACAGCCCCCUUCUUGGUCCUGGCCAGGGGCUCAGUGCUGAAGGAAGCUGCCUGUCCUGCCUUCGACAGGCCUUCUCUUUUCCUGGUCUCAGGGUCGAGUUAGAGGCAAUUGCAUUUUUUUGGCUGGGAUAUCCUCCCUCAGUGCUGUGGGGCUCCCCAAUGCUAUUUGCUCUGGAUGGGACCUCUGCCCCCUCGGGGAGCCUGCUGCUGUGGGGUACGCGUGGGGAGCACAGUGAUUUGAGCCCAUGGGGGUCUGUAGGUGUUGGGCUGUGGCUGAAGCCAGCGGGGUUGGGUAGGUCUCUGUGCCGAGAGCGGGAGCACUAUCCAUUAAACACAGGAGGAGGCAGACCAACGGCAACACAACCGAGCCAUUAAGAAGCGAUACGCCCUCCCCUGCAGCUUCUCCUUCCCGUCUUCACACCUUCUCCUCGUGGCAAUACAAGGCUGGUGUGACUGCGUGGUGAACCACAGCAGGGAAUUGAUCCGCCGGCGUGUUCCCAGACGGGGAUGUUACCCCAGAGGCAGAGCGGGAGCCGGGUGCCGGGUGAUGGGGGGCAGGAGCCGUGCCCCACAGCGGGUGGAGGGAGCUGCCAUAGGGCCCUGCGCUCGCCCUACCUGGGCUCUGCAGCUGGGCUGGCUCUAAAAGAGGAGCCUCCGACCAGAAACAAAACCCAACAGCAGUAAAUAGCUCCAGCCACUGAUAAACAAACACUAGUCAUUUGCAACCAGCUGUCCCUCCCUUCCUUCCCUGUGGUUGCAAGGUGUGCCAGGAAGGGAUUGCGAGGUGUGGACGUGGAGUGCCAGAAAGUGAUUGCGAGGUGUGGACAUAGUGUG